UGGCUCAGGACGAACGCUGGCGGCGUGCUUAACACAUGCAAGUCGAACGGAAAGGCCCUUCGGGGUACUCGAGUGGCGAACGGGUGAGUAACACGUGGGUGAUCUGCCUCGUACUUUGGGAUAAGCCUGGGAAACUGGGUCUAAUACCGAAUAUGACCUUCCCUCGCAUGGGGGUUGGUGGAAACUUUUUGGGUACGAGAUGGGCCCGCGGCCUAUCAGCUUGUUGGUGGGGUAAUGGCCUACCAAGGCGACGACGGGUAGCCGGCCUGAGAGGGCGACCGGCCACACUGGGACUGAGACACGGCCCAGACUCCUACGGGAGGCAGCAGUGGGGAAUAUUGCACAAUGGGCGCAAGCCUGAUGCAGCGACGCCGCGUGAGGGAUGACGGCCUUCGGGUUGUAAACCUCUUUCACCAGGGACGAAGAGAAAUUGACGGUACCUGGAGAAGAAGCACCGGCCAACUACGUGCCAGCAGCCGCGGUAAUACGUAGGGUGCGAGCGUUGUCCGGAAUUACUGGGCGUAAAGAGCUCGUAGGCGGUUUGUCGCGUCGUUCGUGAAAUCUUGAUGCUUAACAUCAAGCGUGCGGGCGAUACGGGCAGACUUGAGUACUACAGGGGAGACUGGAAUUCCUGGUGUAGCGGUGAAAUGCGCAGAUAUCAGGAGGAACACCGGUGGCGAAGGCGGGUCUCUGGGUAGUAACUGACGCUGAGGAGCGAAAGCGUGGGUAGCGAACAGGAUUAGAUACCCUGGUAGUCCACGCCGUAAACGGUGGGUACUAGGUGUGGGUCCCUUUUCACGGGAUCCGUGCCGUAGCUAACGCAUUAAGUACCCCGCC
This 837-nucleotide ribosomal RNA is filed under the name bacterium. RNAcentral describes it as "bacterial SSU rRNA". It matches the Rfam family "Bacterial small subunit ribosomal RNA", at positions 20 to 873 of the family's 1533-position model. The record is from RNAcentral.